CUUCUUCUGUCGCGAUGACUUGACCAACGACACGUGUCUUCAAAUUUCCUCUUAUUUAAGGAAGAGAGAUUGUGUUGAAAAAUAAAGAUAGAGAUUUUUAAUUAGUACGGGCUCACGGGAAUCCAGUAAUUUUUAUCUGAAUCAUGCAUUUGUAUUAA
Lycium ferocissimum is the source of this 158-nucleotide long non-coding RNA. RefSeq lists it as uncharacterized. The record is from RefSeq and is a predicted model, not a curated record. Lineage: Eukaryota; Viridiplantae; Streptophyta; Magnoliopsida; Solanales; Solanaceae. The transcript is spliced from 2 exons.